Non-coding RNA from Acanthosepion pharaonis, 102 nucleotides. NCBI's taxonomy places the organism in Eukaryota, Metazoa, Mollusca, Cephalopoda, Sepiida, Sepiidae. The record is from the annotation of a GenBank genome assembly.
UUACGGUCAUAUCAUCUUGAAAGACUGGUUCUCUUGUCCGAUCACCGAAGUUAAGCAAUGUCGAGCCUGGGAUGGGUGACCACUUGGGAAUACCAGGUGCUC